RNAcentral lists this ribosomal RNA (463 nucleotides) under uncultured bacterium. RNAcentral describes it as "bacterial SSU rRNA". It matches the Rfam family "Bacterial small subunit ribosomal RNA", at positions 28 to 490 of the family's 1533-position model. The record is from RNAcentral.
GACGAACGCUGGCGGCGUGCCUAACACAUGCAAGUCAACUUGACGGAAGGAGCAAUCUGACCGUAGAGUGGCGCAAGGGUGCGUAACGCGUAAGUAACUUGCCCCAAGGUAAGGAAUAACGUCGAGAAAUCGGCGCUAAUACCUCAUAAUGCAGCGGAUCCGCAUGGAUAUGUUGUUAAAGGUUUACCGCCUUGGGAUAGGCUUGCGUCUGAUUAGCUAGUUGGUGUGGUAACGGCACACCAAGGCUACGAUCAGUAACUGGUCUGAGAGGAUGAUCAGUCACACUGGAACUGAGACACGGUCCAGACUCCUACGGGAGGCAGCAGUGAGGAAUAUUGGGCAAUGCUCGAAAGAGUGACCCAGCAACGCCGCGUGGAGGAUGAAGGUAUUCUAUAUCGUAAACUCCUGUGAGAGCAGACGAAAGACAGAUUAUUAAUCUGGAUGACUGUAUGCUCAGAGGAAG